RNAcentral lists this ribosomal RNA (318 nucleotides) under Triticum aestivum (bread wheat). RNAcentral describes it as "partial small subunit ribosomal RNA". Lineage: Eukaryota; Viridiplantae; Streptophyta; Magnoliopsida; Poales; Poaceae. The record is from RNAcentral.
AUGGACCUCAAAGCUGGAUUUCACCAGAUCAGGUUAGCUCCAGGGGAAGAGUACAAAACUGCAUUUCAAACACACCAUGGCCACUUUGAGUUCCUGGUAGUUGCCAUGGGCUUGACUGGAGCUCCAGCAACAUUUCAGGGCACUAUAAACUUUGAUCUGUCCCCUGUGCUCAGGAAGUGUGUACUGUGUUUCUUUGAUGACAUACUAGUUUUCAGCAAAACAUUUGAGGAGCACUUGGAACAUGUUGCUCAGGUUCUGACAAUUCUGAAAGAGAAGGAAUGGAAAGUUAAGAUGUCCAAGUGUGCAUUUGCUCAACAG